ACACAUCCUUUACUAGAAACAACCGUGUGCUUGCAGCCUGCAGAUCAGACACUAAGUUUCCCAAAGGGAAUAUUGAAGAACCUCUGCGUCCGAGUUGGUACCUUAUACGCUCCAGCAGACUUCGUGGUGAUAGAGACUGAUACUGAUGAGAGGGCAUCCAUCAUCCUAGGGAGGCCAUUUCUGAACACCUCAGGAGCUGUCAUCUACGCUAGUGCUGCUAAGAUUAGUUUCUACAUCAAGGGGAAGAAGGAGACGUUUUCCUUCAUAAGCAAGACUACACAAAUCUCAGAGCAAUCCCGACAUGAACCAAGGAAGAGGACCAACAGGAGGGACACGAACAAGCAAAUAUGGACCAAGUCAGCUAAGAUGGUCACUGCAGUUCAAGGAGGUCAAGAUCGUCGACUUAAGUGACCGUUCCUGACCAAAAAGGAUGGCCGCAGUCACCUAUCAGCUCCUGUUCGGAACCAUGCCCCUAAAACCGACAUAUAUUCAGCUCCAAAUGAUUUUAAGGUUAUUGACAUGGGAGAAGACGAGUACGAUCCACCCAUCAUCCUUGGGAGACCGUUCCUCAGCACCGUUAAAUCUACAUUGGAACCAGAGAAGUCCACAUGCACUUCCCCUCUGAGAAGAUAUGCCACUGUUUUACUGACCCUAACUAUAUAGUUGAAGACUCUAAGCAGGACAAGAAGACGACGACGCAACCGCAACCAGAGGAGGCAAAUCAUCAAGGACGGAUGGGCAGACUACGAAGGAGAAGUGGUAAGGUCUGAACACAGUCCUGAGGAGACCGUAGCAUCGAGUCAGGUGUGGAGAGAGAAGAUAGUUAUACAUGAAGAGCAGGCGCCACCGGAACCACCGACUACGCCAUCCAGCAAAUCCUAGGAUGACUGAGGAAACAGAGAGUCCCGUUCGGAGGACUUAAAAAACAUCGAACACCUUGCCAAGAGGUAAACUUGGUAGUUAUCUUUUUCCUUUUAAUUAUUUUAAAAUAGUUUGCUUAGUUAAUCAGGUUCAUAUCAUCUUGAAAAGAAAAUAAAAAUGUUAAAAAAGUAAGCCCCAUGUGAGUAUGCUCAUGGCAUAAAACCCAUAAGUACGUUCACUGUGGUGGCAUAAAAAUGAAAUAAAUAUAUUCCUAUCCUAUAAAAAUAAAAUUAUAAAAAUAAAAUUAUGAUUCUACUAUAGAGAGUAACAUUUAUUGAGGAGGCUCAACAUGAUAAAGGCUAGAUAUUUAUGCUAACACUUAACCAGUUCCACAAAGCAUUGUUGUCUAUUUGAGCUCCACAGAAUUCAAGGAUCAAAGAAGACUAGCAGACGGAGGACAUCCUAAUCGCCUAUCAGGGUGCUGCCGGCAUUCAAAUACACCUCCGCCACCUGCUAGCUACAUCACAUGAAAUUACGUUGAAAUCCAGCUUGGGGGAGAGCACCCCCAUUUAUCCAGCUAAGUGUUCUACUUCUAUUUAUACUUUACUCUAAUAAUAAAAAGAUGCAUAAUCAUAAAAACCAAAAUAAAGAUUCUGUGCUUAUAUAUGUCUUUCCUUAGUUUGCUAAAUAAAUAAAUAAAGUUUGCUAUGAACCCUCAUGAUAAGCUCUCACAUGGAAAUGAUGAAUAAUUGCUCUGCCAUGGCUAGUUCUCAAAAUUAAAAUCUCUCUCAAGUUUAGGCAUGACUGUAUUAAUUAUGAUUUGCUCUAAACCUGAACUAGUGGGAAGAGUACUUGAUCUAAAGUCCAAGUCGUUAACGGAUACGAUAUGGGAAGGUUGAGCUGCUGUUUAUCUGUUCCUAGAGAUGCUAGAAUUCUGGAGAAUUUUAUGUUUGAAAAUCUUUAAAAUAUCACAUGAUGAGUUCAUAUAUGAUGAGAGUUUAAAUUCCUACCACAGCCAUAUAUACAUACUUGCUAGACUUUGAGCCACACAUUUACUUUUUACUACUUAUGAGCAUUGAGUGUGGUCAAGCUGUGUAGACCCUUAGGAGCUUGUCAUGUGGUUAAGUCAAGAUUCACUUGCACGUUUACUCACACAUGCUGUUUCUACUCCAGAAGUACGUAUCCACUUAUAUCCAUCCAUUUCCAUCUCCAGAAUCACCUAAAAAUAUUCUACUCCUAAUCCGGGAGAGAAUAGCCAAAAACAUUUCUAUUUUCCCUGUGAAAUAAAUGCUCAAGUUAUCUUGGUUACUACCACUUGCUAUAUUAUUUCAGGAAAUGAGUGCUCUAAAAAAAAGAAAGAAUACGAUGAAAUAAAAAGGGGCAAGUGCCCGGAACCUCGAAAGAAAGAAAAAGUGAGACGAGAGGUAAAAAUGGACAAGUGUCCGACAGUAGAAUUAGGGGUACAAGAUACCCACCUGAGAGAAAAGAAAAAGAAAAUAUAGAGCAUCUCAUUCUCUCCAAAAAUUUCAAAAGAGCAAGAAAGGUAUGUACCCCCUCAAAAGAGCAAAAGUAGAAUUAGACUUUCACCAUUACUUUCACCAUUAUCACCAUUGAUUCGCCACACAUGCACAUCUUGAUUUGACUUAUUGACUUGUUGUUCUGGAUCCAUGGUUUGACUAUGCAAUAAAUCUCUUGUAAGUAUGUAUUAGCUGUCUCCCACCUAUGAGCUCCAGAUAUCAAAAGCCUUAUUAGAGUAGGGUGAGAGAGAAGGCAAUGCCACCGUGCCUCAUACCAAAAAUACCACAUACUUUGAGAGAAGGCAUACACCAUUACUGCCUUGGUAAGGAUCCAGAAAUACCACGAAAGAGAGACUAGAGAGAGUCAUACAAGGAAUCUCUGAGUUUUAUUUGAAAAUCUACAAAAACUCUAGAGCUAUAGCUGAUCAAGAAUAAGAGACAUGGUGCUUGACUAGACUGUUCUAUCUUUUAACUGCUCAAGACAGAAGUGACGGUUACAAGUCCCAUGGUAAAAGGUAAAACAAGUAAGUUUUUAGUCUUAACAGUUUACCCUAACCCAGAGAUGAGAUCUUGUUUGAACGAAUGAGUAUU
Molecule: long non-coding RNA, 2969 nt
Filed under: Sorghum bicolor (sorghum)
Lineage: Eukaryota; Viridiplantae; Streptophyta; Magnoliopsida; Poales; Poaceae
Description: long non-coding RNA (SBIC_LNC011814)
Source: RNAcentral